CCUACGGGAGGCAGCAGUGAGGAAUAUUGGUCAAUGGGCGCGAGCCUGAACCAGCCAAGUAGCGUGAAGGAUGACUGCCCUACGGGUUGUAAACUUCUUCUAUAAAGGAAUAAAGUGAGGCACGUGUGCCUUUUUGUAUGUACUUCUUCAAUAAGGCUCGGCCAACUCCGCGCCAGAGGCCGCGGUAAUACGGAGGAUCCGAGCGUUAUCCGGAUUGAUUGGGUUUAAAGGGAGCGUAGAUGGGUUGUUAAGUCAGUUGUGAAAGUUUGCGGCUCAACCGUAAAAUUGCAAUUGAUACUGGCAGCCUUGAGUACAGUUGAGGUAGGCGGAAUUCGUGGUGUAGCGGUGAAAUGCGUAGAUAUCACGAAGAACUCCGAUGGCGAAGGCAGCCUACUAAACUGCCACUGACAUUGAUGCUCGAAAGUGUGGGUAUCAAACAGGAUUAGAUACCCGAGUAGUC
RNAcentral lists this ribosomal RNA (460 nucleotides) under uncultured bacterium. RNAcentral's name for it is "partial 16S ribosomal RNA". It matches the Rfam family "Bacterial small subunit ribosomal RNA", at positions 338 to 795 of the family's 1533-position model. The record is from RNAcentral.